GAGAUAAGAAGCAGUCAAGCUAACCAAUGAGCUUGCCUAUGAAUCAUGUGAAAGGAUAUCCCAAGACACUACAGAGCUGUGUGCUUUGAGAUCUUCCAAAUCACAUAGGCAAGUCAUCCUUGGCUAGCUACCAAACAGACUCUUAUCU
This 148-nucleotide microRNA precursor is filed under the name Nelumbo nucifera (sacred lotus). The record is from RNAcentral. Lineage: Eukaryota; Viridiplantae; Streptophyta; Magnoliopsida; Proteales; Nelumbonaceae.